This 5489-nucleotide long non-coding RNA is filed under the name Sus scrofa (pig). Its description in RNAcentral is "lncRNA (ENSSSCG00065056724.1)". The record is from RNAcentral. Lineage: Eukaryota; Metazoa; Chordata; Mammalia; Artiodactyla; Suidae.
UUUUUUUUUUUUUUUUUUUUUUUGUCUUUUUUAGAGCUGCACCUGCAGCAUGUGGAAGUUCCCAGGCAAGGGGUCGAUUGGGAGCUGCAGCUGCCGGUCUACACCACAGCCACAGCUACCACAGCUCAUGGUAAUGCCAGAUUCUUAACCCACUGAACAAGGCCAAAGAUCGAACCUGCAUCCUCAUGGAUACCAGGUGGAUUUGUUUCCACUGAGCCACAACGGGAACUCCUGAUUUAAUCUUUUAGGUAUUUUUCUUAUUUUGUUAUGACAACUUUCAAACAUACAGCAAAGUGCAGAAGGAGAUGCAAUGGCUGGAUACCUGCCUCCCCAAACCUGGAUUUAACCCCUGGGGUAUCUGAUCACCAGGACGGCAGGAACUCUUUGAGUCCUAUUCACUGGUCGAUCCCCAGCAGUUUAAGUGCACCAUGAGUUUGUCGUAUGAGUGAGUAAUUUUAGCCACUCCUACCAUUUUAUGAGAGAAAAUGGGCUAACAUCUACCACCUUGGCCAUGGGUUCCCAUCCUGCUUCUGCCACACAUUCGCUCUGUGACCUGCGGUGAGUCCCUACCUCUCUGUGCCAAGGGCCCCAUAAUCUUUGCCUAAACUGAUUAUUCCAUGAGAUAUUGAAAAAUGGUCGUUUUCCAAUUCUAACAAUCCUUCCCCAUUUAUUAGCUAAGAUUCUCCUCUUAAGAACUCUCAUCGACAAAGCUAAAUAAUUUUUUUUUUUUUUGCUUUGCUUUUUAGGGCCGCAUCCACAGCAUGUGCAAGUUCCCCAGCGAGGGGUCGAAUCGGAGCUGCAGCUCCCGGCUGUACAGCAACAUCACAGCCACAGCAAUGCAAGAUCCAAGCCACAUCUGCAACCUACACCACAGCUCACGGCAACACCAGAUCCUCAACCCACUGAGCGAGGCCAGAGAUUGAACCUGCAUCCUCAUGGAUGCUAGCCGGACUCAUUAACCACUGAGCCAUGACGGGAACUCCAGGGCCAGUUUCUAUCACCAGAUUAUUUCUGCCCGUUGUUAAAUUUCAUACAAAAUAGAAUCGGCAUGGAGUCUUGGUCAGUAUAAUAUUUUUGAGAUUCACCUAUGUUACUCUAUGUAUCAGUAGAUUUUUUUUUUAAUUGCCGGGAGGUAUUCCAUUCACCGGUUGACAGAUUGACUGAACUGUUUCCAGGUCAGGGCUGGUAUGAAUGAAACUGAUACAACAUUCUUACAUGCAUCUUCUGUGAACAUAUGUUUUCAUUUCUCUUGGGGAUAGACCAAGAGUGGAAUUACUGGGUCACACAGCAAGUUCGUAUUUAACUUCAUGAUAAAUUGCCAAGGGUGCCCAUCCCCUUUUACCUUCCUACCAGUAAUGUCAGAGCCGUCCAGUUCCACCUCCACGCAAACACUUGGUACUGGCAGAUUUUCCUCUUCCUUUUUAACUAUUCUAAAGGCUGGGUAGUGUACCCCCUGAGGUUUCAAAUGGUGGUUUAAAUGAUAACUAGAGAUGCUGGAUCUUUUUCACGGGCUUGUUGCCUUUCCACGUGUAUUCUUGGAUGUAUCCAUUCUUUUGCCCAUGUUUUUAUUGUUGUUUCGUUUGUUUUUAUUGAGCUUGAGAAUUUUCUCUGUAUUCUGAACAUGAGCCAUUUGUCAGGUAUGUGAUUUGCGAGUAGCUUCUUCCAGUCUGUGGCUGGUCUUUUCUUUCUUUUAAAAGUCUUUCCCAGAACAGAAAUUUUUAAUUCAAUGACGCAAAACUUUCUCCUGUUUUCUUCUCAGACUUUAAGAGAACAGCCUCAAGCUAGAUGUGGUUAUUUAAAAUUAAAUAAAUUUUAAAAUUCUUUGGACUGCAAAGAUAUUGAAUGUACACCCAUUGCGGAUGGGUGUGUUUCGUUGAACAGCAUUGUUUUAGAAAUUCUAAAGUUUUAGCUUUCACAUUUAGAAAUUGUAAGGAGCAAAGUAAGGCUCAGGUUGGUUUUGUUUACCUGUUUUUGUUUUGUGCUGUGUCAAGCUGACCUAUCAAGCUGACCAGGCCUGGAGUUUUAUAGCAAGGCUUUUAACGACAAAUUCAAUUUCUUUAAUAGGUAUACAACUAUUAAGGCUAUUUCUUCCCAAGUGAACUAAAGUAGUUUGUGUCCUUCAAGGAAUGUCCAUUUUCAUCCAAACUGUCAAAUCUAGAGGCAUAAAAUUGCUGGUAGUAUUUCCUCAUGAUCUUUCAACGAUGGUGGUGUCUGUAGCAAUUCCUCUUUCACAUUCAUAGUCCUGGUAAUUUGUGCCUUUUUUAUUAUUGCUCCAUUUGACUUUUAAUUUUAUCAAUUUUAUUGAUUCUUUAAGUUAAAACGUCUUUUGGCUUUAUUGCUUUUCUCUAUUACUGUUUCUAUUUCCUAUUUUUUUCUAUUUUAUUAUUUUAUAUUUUUAUUGCUUUCUUUCACCUAAUGUUUUCCAUUUUACUCUUUUUUUCUAUUUUCUUAGGUUACGGAUGUGAGGUCUUUCAUUUUCUAGCAUAUUAACUACAUGCUUAAUUAAUUAAUGUUUAAUAUUCAAUCAAUUAAUUUUAGUGCUUGAACUUUCUCUGUAAACUCUGCAUUAGCUGCCUCCCACAAAUCUUGAUAUGUUAUUUUCUUAUUUUCACUCAAUUCACAUUUUUUUCUAACUUCUCUUUUGGCUUUCUCCUCACCCCAAAAGUUGUUUAUAAAUGUGAUGCUUAAUUCCCAUUAUUGAUUUCUAGCUUAAAUCUUUAAGAUCUGAGAGCAUUUCUAUUAUUUCAAUUCUUUGAAAUCUGUUAACAUUUUUCAUUAAAUAGUUUUUAUCUUGAUUAAGGUUCAGGUGCACUUCAGAAGAAGGUGAAUUCUACUGUUUUUGAGUAGACUGUUCUAUAAAUGCCCAUUAGGUGACAUGGGUUGGAAGUGUUGCUAGGUCUCCUAUAUCCUUAAUGAUUUUCUGUUUGUUCUAUUGAUUACUAAGAGAAUUGAAGUCCCCAGAUAUGAUUGUGGAUGUAUUAGCUUCUCCUUUAGUUUCAUGUUUUGUUUCAUGUAUUUUGAACCUCUGUUUCCAUGUGAAUAAUUACUUAAGAGUAUUAGGUCUUCUUGGUGAAUAUACCCCUUUAUAAUUAUGCACUGUACGUCUUUAUUCCUGGAAGGAUUCCCUGUUGUGAAGUUUCCUUUGCCAGGGAGUAGUAGAGCCACUCCAAGCUUUCUUUUUAUUGUUUUUUGCAUGAAAUAUAUUUUUCUAUCCUUGUACUUUGGCCUAUUUAUAUCUGUAUAUUGAAAGUGGAUUUCUUGUGCAUAAUAUAUAGUUGGGUAUUAUACUUUUAUCCAAACUGACAAUCUCUGCCUUUCACUUAGAAUCUUAAGCAUUUACAUUUAAUGUGAUUAUUGAUAUGGCUAAAUUUAGGUCAACCAUGUUAUUACUUAUUUUUUGUUUGCCUUCUCUGUUUCUCAUUCAUGUCUCAUUUCCUGCCUUCUUUUGGACUAUUUUAACAUUUCAUAGUAUUUCAUUUUAGUUUCUCUAUUGGAUUUCUGUCCUUAUCGCUUUAUAAUUUCUUAGUGCUUGUGCUAUGGAUUACAAUAUUUGUACCUAACUUAUCAUGGUCUAUUUAGAGUUAAUAUUUUGGGUCAGAGAUACUCUUCAUCUUUGCCAGUCCUUGGUAUGGAGAGUCUUUUUAAUUUUAGCUAGUCUGAUGGGUGUGUAGAGACUUUCAGUGUGUUUUUUUCCAUCUAAUGACAUUGAACAUCUUCUCAUGUACUGAUUUGCCAUUGAUAUGUCAUCUUCGGUGAAAUAUCAGUUCAAAUGUUUUGCUCAUUUUUUUAAUUGAGUUGUUUUCCUUAUUACUAUUGGGUCAUAAGAAUUGAUUAUCAAAGUUCCCAUCUUGGCUCAGUGGUUAACAAACCUGACUAGGAUCCAUGAGGAUGUGGAUUCAAUCCCUGACCUCACUCAGUGGGUUAAGGAUCCGUGUUGCCAUGAGCUGUGGUGUAGGUCACAGACACGGCUUGGAUCAGGCAUUGAUGCAGCUGUGACAUAGGCUGGCAGCUGUAGCUCCACUUAGACCCCUAGCCUGGGAACCUUCAUGUGUCACCAGUGUGGCACUAAAAAGAAAAAAAAAAUGAUUAUCUAUUUGGGAUACAGGAGCUUUAACAGAUGUAUGAUCAUAAUACCUUAUUAUCAAUAUAAUGUUUGUAACAACUACAGUCAUUCCCUUCCCCUUCUUCAAUCCUCAUAUUGGUAAUAUAUUUUCUCUCUUUUGUUCUUUAUCAGUUUUAUUAAGAGUCUAUCAGUUUUAUCUGUCCUCUAAAAUAACCCACUUUUGACUUUAUUCGUUUUCUCUAUUGUAUAUUUGCUUUGCAUUACAUUUAUUUAUGCUCUUGUCUAUUUCUUCUCUUCUAUUUUCUUUGGAGUUGGCUUGAUUUUUUUCUUACUUCUUGAAGUGAAGGCAUAGGUUAUUGAUUUUUCAGCAUAUCUAUAAGUAUGAUGAUGUGUCUUCCUUAUCAUUUAGUUAAAAAUAUUUGCUCAUUUCCAAAUUUCCGUUCUGAUUUCUUUUUGAACCACAGGUGUCUUAAAACUAUGUGCCUUAAUUACUAAGCAGUUGGAGAUCUUCUAGUUAUCUUGUUGUUAUGAUUUCUAGCUUAAUUGCCCUGUGGUCGGGGAACAUACCAGGAAUAUUUUCAAUCUUUUGAAAAUUGCUCAGGUUUGCCUAUGAGCUACUGUAUGGUCGGUUUUGGCAAACAUCCCUUGUUCAUUUAUUCAAGGGAAAAGAAAGCACAUUCUGUCUUUGUUGGGCACCGUGUUUUAUAAACGUCAAUUAGGUCAGUUUGAUUAAUCGUGUUGUUCGGAUCUUCUUUAUCCUGAUGGAUUAUUUUGUCUGCUUGUUCUUUCAGCUCCUGAGAAGUACGUCAUCAUGUCUCUCACCAGGAUGGACAUGCCUUUGUAACUUUUCCAUUUUUAUAGUUUCUCAGCGUGGGGUCUGCCCUUGAAGUAUAAACUUACAGUGCCAUCCUGACCAGGAAUCCACUCUUAUCUGCUUCAUAUACUGGAGUUGGUGAAAUGUUUCCUUUGGAAAAAAGUCCGACUGCUGAUAAAGAAAAAUGUUUGAAAAUUGGCAGAGAGGAUUUCGAGAGAGGAAACACUGAUAAUGGAGUUUCUCCAACCCAAUAACUAAGAAUAACGAAAAGCACUUCAUGUCUCCAUCUACCUGCCUUCUCCUGCCUGAAAUGCCAUUUCUGGGGAAACAUCCCUUUAAAAAACUAGGCCUUUGGGCUAGAAUGCUUCCCCCAGCUUCUGGAACUGGGAAUUAAAAAUGCAAAUGAGUCAUGCACUAUGUCGAUAUUCUCUCUUCAUCAACUGAAAUUGACAUAGGAAGGUCUGUUAUCUGCAAAAAGAGGAAUGGUUCCAGGGACCCAGAGCAGGGAAGGAAAAGCUGAUGAAGCAGAGGCAAAGGAACAUGAUAAAGCCCCUCCCUGACCCCAGGCUUUCCAAAAGCUGGCCAUGCAGGGUGGGAAAUCAGUGGGUCUCC